ACUCAAAUGAAUUGACGGGGGCCUGCACAAGCGGUGGAGUAUGUGGCUUAAUUCGAUGCAACGCGAAGAACCUUACCUGGCCUUGACAUGUAUCUAGUAGGAGCUUGAAAGAGUGACGAGGUAGCAAUACCAGGGUACACAGGUGCUGCAUGGCUGUCGUCAGCUCGUGUCGUGAGAUGUUGGGUUAAGUCCCGCAACGAGCGCAACCCUUAUGUCCUGUUGCGAUCCGAACGAGAGUUUGGAGCACUCUGGACAGACUGCCUCGCUUAAACGAGGAGGAAGGUGGGGAUGACGUCAAGUCAGUAUGGCCCUUACGGCCAGGGCUGCACACGUACUACAAUGCUCGGCACAAAGGGAAGCAAGACUGCAAAGUGGAGCAAAUCCCCUAAAACCGAGCCCAGUUCGGAUUGUCGUCUGCAACUCGACGGCAUGAAGCUGGAAUCGCUAGUAAUGGCGCAUCAGCUACGGCGCCGUGAAUACGUUCCCAGGCCUUGUACACACCGCCCGU
This 508-nucleotide ribosomal RNA is filed under the name uncultured bacterium. Its description in RNAcentral is "partial 16S ribosomal RNA". It matches the Rfam family "Bacterial small subunit ribosomal RNA", at positions 899 to 1397 of the family's 1533-position model. The record is from RNAcentral.